CCCUUAGAUGUUCUGGGCUGCACGCGUGUUACAAUCGGGAGUACAACAAGAUUGCAAAUCCUAGUGGAUGAGUGGUUCUUCGAAAUUUUCUGAAGACUGGGAUAGUUGAUUGAAAUUAUUCAACUCGAACGAGGAAUUCCUUGUAAUUGUAAUUCAUUAUAUUGUAAUGAAUACGUCCCUGCCCUCUGUACACACUGCCCGUCGCUCCUACCGAUUGAACGAUCCGGUGAAUUAUUUGGAGUAGCUCUGGAAGUUGCAGAACUUCCUAUGUCACGAAAUUUUGUAAACCUUAUCGUUUAGAGGAAGGAAAAGUCGUAACA
This 320-nucleotide ribosomal RNA is filed under the name uncultured eukaryote. RNAcentral's name for it is "partial 18S ribosomal RNA". It matches the Rfam family "Eukaryotic small subunit ribosomal RNA", at positions 1470 to 1796 of the family's 1831-position model. The record is from RNAcentral.